RNAcentral lists this ribosomal RNA (396 nucleotides) under Triticum aestivum (bread wheat). RNAcentral describes it as "partial small subunit ribosomal RNA". Lineage: Eukaryota; Viridiplantae; Streptophyta; Magnoliopsida; Poales; Poaceae. The record is from RNAcentral.
AUGCGGCAAUUGGUCCAGGGUGGCCAGACGGCGGUAAAUAUUUAUGGGGAGAUUGGACCAUAUUUUAGGAAUAAACGAAGGGUUAGGCAGGGAGAUCCGAUUUCCCCUCUAUUGUUUAAUAUUCUUGCGGACGCCCUGGCUUCCAUUCUCGACCAUGCCAAUGCGGUAGGUCACAUAUCUUGGGUGGCGUCUCGUAUUAUACCCGGGGGGUUAUCCCACAUCCAAUAUGCCGACGACAUGCUCAUUAUCAUCAAGAACUCCGAGCAAGAGAUAGUAAAUUUCAAAUUUCUUUUGGUGUGCUUUGAAGAGAUGUCGGGGUUAAAAACAAACUUUGAGAAGAGUGAGGCCAUGGUCAUGGGUGGUGACCUGAAUCCCAGUUGUGGGCUGUGCAUAUGA